This 693-nucleotide ribosomal RNA is filed under the name Eulimnogammarus viridis. Its description in RNAcentral is "bacterial SSU rRNA". It matches the Rfam family "Eukaryotic small subunit ribosomal RNA", at positions 62 to 670 of the family's 1831-position model. Lineage: Eukaryota; Metazoa; Arthropoda; Malacostraca; Amphipoda; Eulimnogammaridae. The record is from RNAcentral.
AGNCCAAGCUGUGUUCACACGGCGAGACCGCGGGCGGCUCAUUAAAUCAGUCGUGGUCCAAAUGGGCCAGUGCAAAUCCUACUUGGAUAACUGUGGUAAUUCCAGAGCUAAUACAUGCAACUGAUAUCCCGAAGGCGGUGUUGGUGCUUGCUUGUCUUGCGCUGGCGCUGCUCUGACGGAUGCUUUUAUUAGACCAAGCCGCUGAGGACUUGAGGGUUCGCGCUCUCUUGUUUGACUCGUGUGAUGGUGACUCUGGAUAACCAAAUUCUGACAAGCGCACGUACUUCUCUUCUGAGCGAGACGGCGCUGCCACUUUCGAGUNUCUGCCUUAUCAGCUAUCAACCGUUCGUUAUGCGCGACCGAUGGCUUUGACGGGUAACGGGGAAUCAGGGUUCGAUUCCGGAGAGGCAGCCUGAGAGACGGCUACCACGUCCAAGGACGGCAGCAGGCACGCAAAUUACCCAAUCCCAGCAAAUGGGGGAGGUAGUGACGAAAUCUAACGAUGCGGGCGCCCUUUCUGGGGCCCCGCAAUCGGAAUGGGCACUUUCUAAACAACCUGUUGAGAACCUACUGAAGGGCAAGUCUGGUGCCAGCAGCCGCGGUAAUUCCAGCUUCAGCAGCAUCUAUUAAAGUUGCUGCGGUUAAAAGGCUCGCAGUUGAAUGUCUGUAUCGAGCGCAGGUCAGGUGGACGUU